CUGUGGGAUCCAGGCCCUUGGCCCUUGGUGUGCGGUUAGAUCUCUUGCACUCCUCUGUAUUUGACUUUUUGGGUGACUAUUAUAAAAUAAUCCUAUAAAUUAUGUGUCCUGUAUUAAAUCUGUUCGCUUGCCAACCCUGACUAUAGCAGUAAUGAUGGGUGGGAGCUAUAGGAUGGGAUGCAUGCCCCCAAAGCAACAAAAUAUACCCACCGCUGCACUUUUGCCUCUCCUGCUUGUCUGUAAGUAGCACCUACAGACCUAACAGAGCCAGAGGUCAGAGGGCAAGGAAGCCUGAUGGAGGUCAGCGUCGCAGGGCACCAUGCAGGGUGGAACAGGGUGGAGAAUAAUUCUGAGGGGCAGAGGAAUUAUAAUCAGCAAAGCACUUAGGACAGUUUGUACUCAUAGGGCUGUUGUAGAGAUCACAGGCGACGUUGGUAAAACAGUGGCACUGUGCCAGUGUAUCCAAUAAACACCAGCUCUGCGUGUGCUUAGAAAAGUCUCUACUGAUGCUCUGGCUGCAUCAUAGAUCAGCCUGGAUUGGGCUGGAUGGUUACAAAGGUCUUAGGGAAGAGGCAUGGCCACUCACUUGCAGCUGUGUGUUCCAGUAUUUCCUGGGUGGCUCCAGCUGCCUGUAAAGUGACCUAGCUGUCAGAGCAACCAGAAAACAUCCUCAGCUACACCAGCAGGGACUGAAGGCUCAGCACGGACUGAGCUUCCAGUCCUGGCCACACUCCUCAGGAUGCAAGCCAAGGCCAUGGAGGGAGGGGUAUUCCAGCCCAAGGCAUCCUGCUUUUGGCCUAAGAACUGAUCUGAGUAAUGCAGCUCCCUGAUCUCAUACAGCAUGAGUUUGGCUACUGUAUACUAAGUUCCCAGCAGGUAUCGCUGUCACCACAGGAUGGCCCUCACAUUCCCUGGGCCUUCUUGUGCCUCUGACUUCUUGUUCCCUACUGCAUCAGGAGCUACCGUAAGCCUCCUUCAAUCUUCACACAACAGACAGAGAGAUCUUGUAGCCUUCAAGUCCACAUCUCCUGCACAUCAUCAGAGCUGCCCUGAGGCUCCAGGUCCCAGGGGCCUCGGUUUCCGUGCCCUUCGUGGUCAGAACUAAGUGGGUGCAGUUGUCUACUCUGGAAUUCCAGGAGACCCAGCUCAGCGCGGCCCUGGGGGAAAAGAAAGCCAGCUUUGCCUGACUGCCUGUCCUGGGGCACCACCAACAUCUUGUCCUAUCCACCCACCCCCCACAGCCCCUCAGGUCAGUAGCUGAUACCCGCAGGCUUUACUAUAAUCCUUUCUUUUCCAGCCACCCUGAAAGAUCCUGGCCUUAAAGAGAACUCCCUUUCCGCUGCCAAGAAGCUGAGGCAGGAGUUUCCCAUCUGGAAUGAGGAUGGAGAGAGCAGAGGCGAGGGACGCCUCAGCCGGGUGCGGGGGGGGGGCCGCUACCUCACAGCCCCAACUCCGGGAGUGGUCUCGGG
This 1469-nucleotide long non-coding RNA is filed under the name Fukomys damarensis (Damara mole-rat). Its description in RNAcentral is "lncRNA (ENSFDAG00000030211.1)". The record is from RNAcentral. Lineage: Eukaryota; Metazoa; Chordata; Mammalia; Rodentia; Bathyergidae.